AAAAAAAAAGAAUAAGGACACACCCUGUCAAAGCCUAAGUCAAGCCCCAACAUCUCUUCCAAACUUAAGCCAGUUGGGGAAGGAAAUGCAAUUUUAGUAAAAAAGAGAACAAAAGGAGAAUGGGUGCACUGGACCAAUUUUACCUAAUGUUUAAUAUUGCUGAAGAUGGAUGUGGGGGAUGUUAUGAGGAUAAGGGGGAGUGUGAGGAAGGAGGAAGAGGAAAUAGCACAUGGGGAGGCCCAGACAUGAUGGAAGCUGGUUCCACAGAGCUAAGAAAAGAACUGUUUCACUGGUACCAAACCCAGAUUUUCUCUCAUUUUCACAUCUCUGAAAUCAGACAUCCCUUGCAAUGUAAGUUAUUUUACCAUUUUAAUUGGCAGAAUUGUUUUUUCUUAAUGUCACAUAAAAUAAUGGUGCAUCUUAUGGUUGAUAUUUCAGACUUACUGAAAUAUGGUAGUCAUGUUAGACUCGAGAAAAAGCAUAAGUUAAGAACUUACAGGAAGAAAGGCUGAAGAACUCAACAGGUGGGCACACCAUGCAUCUAGUAUUAAAGGGGUUGAAUUUUAUCCCAAGUAUAAUGAGAAGCCAUUAAAGGAUUUUAAUAGUGGACUAGCUUGAUCAGAUUUGUAUAUUUUGGAAAAUAACUGAUAUGGUUUGGAUAUCUGUCCCCUCCAAAUCUCAUGUCGAAAUUCCAUCCCCAGAGUCUCAGCCUUGCCACUGCCCAAAGACUGCUGAGUCCCUGUCCAUCCGCUGCCACCACCCACUCCGGACACAGAACAUCCAGUCAUGGAUAAAAAUGAGCUGGUUCAGAAGGUCAAACUGGCCAAGCAGGCUGAGCAAUAUGAUGACAUGACAGCCUGCAUGAAGUCUGUAACUGAGCAAGGAGCUGAAUUAUCCAAUGAGGAGAGAAUCUUCUCUCAGUUGCUUAUAAAAAUGUUGUAGGAGCCCGUAGGUCAUCUUGGAGGGUCGUCUCAAGUAUUGAACCAAAAAGACGGAAGGGGCUGAGAAAAAGCAGCAGAUGGCUCGUGAAUACAGACAGAAAAUUGAGAUGUAGCUAAGAGAUAUCUGCAAUGAUGUACUGUCUCUUUUGGAAAAGUUCUUGAUCCCCAAUGCUUCACAAGCAGAACAAAGUCUUCUAUUUGAAAAUGAAAGGAGAUUACUACCGUUACUUGGCUGAGGUUGCCGCUGGUGAUGACAAGAAAGGGACUGUGGAUCAGUCACAAGAAGCAUACCAAAAAGCUUUUGAAAUCAGCAAAAAGGAAAUGCAACCAACACAUCCUAUCAGACUGGGUCUGGCUCUUAACUUCUCUGUGUUCUAUUAUGAGAUUCUGAACUCUACAGAGAAAGCCUGCUCUCUUGCAAAGACAGCUUUUGAUGAAGCCAUUGCUGAACUUGAUACAUUAAGUGAAGAGUCAUACAAAGACAGCACACUAAUGCAAUUACUGAGAGACAACUUGACACUGUGGACAUCAGAUACCCAGGAGACGAAGCUGAAGCAGAAAAAGGCAGGGAAGAUUAACUGGCCUUCCAACUUUUGUCUGCCUUAUUCUAAAAUUUACACAGUAGACCAUUCCCGUUGUCAUCCAUGUGGUCCCACAAACUUUUUUGUUUACAACUUAUGACAGGUUUAUGUUACUUCUAUUUGAAUUUCUAUAUUUCCCAUAUGGUCUCUAUGUUUAAUAUUAGGGGAGUGGAGCCACUUAACAUUCAGGGAGUUAUCUGUUUUCAUCUUGAGGUGGCCAAUAUGGGGAUGUGGAAUUUUUAUACAAGUUAUAAAUGUUUGGUAUAGUACUUUUGGUACAUUGUGGCUUCACAAGGGCCGGUGUUAAAACUGCUUCCAUGUCUAAGCAAAGAAAACUGCCUACAUAUUGGUUUGUCCUGGUGGGGAAUAAAAGGGAUCAUUGGUUCCAGUCACAGGUGUAGUAAUUGUGGGUACUUUAAGGUAUGGAGCACUUACAAGGCUGUGGUAGAAACAGAUACCCCAUGGAUACCACAUGUUAAAUCAUGUACAUCUGUGGAAUAGUCAAUCUCACAACCUUUGACUACAACUGCAGAAGUGUUCCUUUAGACAAAGUUGUGAUGUAUUUUACUCUGGAUAAGGGCAGAAAUGGUUCACAUUGCAUUAUUUGUAAAGUUACCAGCUGUUAGCUUUCAUUAUUUUUGCUACACUCAUUUUAUUUGUAUUUAAAUGUGUUAGGCAACCUAAGAACAAAUGUAAAAGUAAAGAUGCAGUAAAAAUGAAUUGCUUUGAUCAUUACUUCAUAUAUAUCAAGCACAGCAGUAAAAAAAAAAAAAAAAAAAAAAAA
Cercocebus atys (sooty mangabey) is the source of this 2306-nucleotide RNA transcript. It is a transcript of the gene named 14-3-3 protein zeta/delta pseudogene, with no coding region annotated. The record is from RefSeq and is a predicted model, not a curated record. Lineage: Eukaryota; Metazoa; Chordata; Mammalia; Primates; Cercopithecidae. The transcript has a single exon.